AACGAACGCUGGCGGCAUGCCUAACACAUGCAAGUCGAACGAGACCUUCGGGUCUAGUGGCGCACGGGUGCGUAACGCGUGGGAACCUGCCCUUAGGUUCGGAAUAACUCCCCGAAAGGGGUGCUAAUACCGGAUAAUGUCUUCGGACCAAAGAUUUAUCGCCUUUGGAUGGGCCCGCGUUGGAUUAGCUAGUUGGUAGGGUAAAAGCCUGCCAAGGCGACGAUCCAUAGCUGGUCUGAGAGGAUGAUCAGCCACACUGGGACUGAGACACGGCCCAGACUCCUACGGGAGGCAGCAGUGGGGAAUAUUGGAAAAUGGGCGAAAGCCUGAUCCAGCAAUGCCGCGUGAGUGAUGAAGGCCUUAGGGUUGUAAAGCUCUUUUACCCGGGAUGAUAAUGACAGUACCGGGAGAAUAAGCUCCGGCUAACUCCGUG
RNAcentral lists this ribosomal RNA (433 nucleotides) under uncultured bacterium. Its description in RNAcentral is "partial 16S ribosomal RNA". It matches the Rfam family "Bacterial small subunit ribosomal RNA", at positions 29 to 507 of the family's 1533-position model. The record is from RNAcentral.